UGUCUAACCCUUAAUAGGUUGGUCUAUAAGGUAUGGCAUAAAAAUCCACUGCGACAUAGAGAUGGGCAUCCAUCUUACUAUCAUGUCGCAGUGGUUACUACCCGAAAGGGUAGUAAGGUAGUCCCGAAAGGGCUGUC
Molecule: small RNA, 137 nt
Filed under: unclassified sequences
Description: LOOT RNA
Rfam family: LOOT RNA
About the family: Latescibacteria, OD1/Parcubacteria, OP11, TM7. Lineage (Microgenomates, aka OP11)
Source: Rfam by way of RNAcentral